Molecule: long non-coding RNA, 1447 nt
Organism: Neogale vison (American mink)
Lineage: Eukaryota; Metazoa; Chordata; Mammalia; Carnivora; Mustelidae
Exons: 3
Source: RefSeq, a predicted model, not a curated record
CUGGAGGCUUUGUUCAGAAUUGAUCCUGGGGAGCUACGAACCCAAAGUUUCACAGUAGGAAGGGGGAAAAAAGAAAAGAAAACAUUUUUCCUAAUGUAACAAUGCGAAUGCUAGAAAAUGACAAGACUGAUCGGUUUUAAACCAUUCUGAGACUGACUGAGCGUGGAAGUUGCUCAACAAAAAAAGGAACGGGUAUAUUGGUCACAGGAUCACAACUCCACUCAGGUCAGCUCCGCGAAGUGCUGUGAAGAAGCAGCAGCGUUCCUGGAUUCUUUGCUGAGACAGAAGGAAACGCACUUCUCUGGAGGAGCAUGACAUUUUCUACGUCGCUUCCUAUCCCUGUCACUGAACUUCCUGAAUCCUGGCCCCAGACACCAUCAAGAGGACCUUCUGGAUGGCCUACCUAUCCCCUGAGAGAGGAGGAACAUCAACUGUGGUUUCUAACUAGACUGCCUUCUUCAUUUCAAGCAAUGGCUGCCAUCAGGGUCAGAUUAAAGACAGACCAGUUGGACCACUGCUUGGAGGACUAACCUAGAAGGGCACCAAAAUGACCACAGAGUGCUAAAACAUCCACAGAAAUAUACAGAGAGGAAAACAAUACUAGCACUUAUUUUAGGGAGAAUUCUGUGUGGAAUUGGAAGGAAGGGUUGAUAAAUUCCUUAGGGGUAGAAAGUAAGGCAUAAUCAAAUAUAGAGGAGCAUGGGGUUGUUUUACUACAGGGCUUCUAUUUGGAAGGAAGGAUUGAUAAAUUCCUUAGGGGUAGAAAGUAAGGCAUAAUCAAAUAUAGAGGAGCAUGGGGUUGUUUUACUACAGGGCUUCCAUUUGUCCUACUCAGAUAUAUAAUUUGGGUGCCCCAUCUGGAUUGUUUGUGACCAUGGAGGGUAGGCAGACACCCUCACUGGUCCUCCGGCUUGGUUCUUCCCCAUGCAGAGCUUAGCUUGUCCUUGUAUAAAGAUUUGGCAAGUAGUGGUUUGAAGGAAACACCAAUUUAUUUAUUAGCCUACAUGUCUUGACAUUCUAGGGCUUGAAAAUGAAAAUAUAAUCAGACUAUCUUCCAGUUCUAGGAUGUUAGCCCAUAGUAUGUCUUCAUUGAUUUGAGGGCAAAGAUGAACCAACACAGUAGAUCAAGUCAAAUGGAGCCUGAAUUCCCUGCUUAUGGGCUGGGUGAUCAGCCUCUGUGUCAAGUUAAUUUGAUCAGUGGAGACACUAGGUAGAGUUGAGAUCUUUAAAAAUAUUUGGCUGAAGGGUGAUAUUAUUGAUUAUUUGUAGAUGAAGAUGUCAAGGAACAUUCAUAGAAUCAUGAAAUAUGGAACUGCGGGUCACAUUAAAAAAAUUCAACAAGUAGUUAAAUAUCUACUGGACACUGGAGACAGGUGUAAGAUAGAUAUGGUUCCAGGGCAUCUGGGUGGCUCAGUUGGUUUAGCAUCCAACUCUUGAUUUUGGCUCA